RNAcentral lists this ribosomal RNA (355 nucleotides) under uncultured Actinomycetes bacterium. Its description in RNAcentral is "bacterial SSU rRNA". It matches the Rfam family "Bacterial small subunit ribosomal RNA", at positions 1035 to 1388 of the family's 1533-position model. The record is from RNAcentral. Lineage: Bacteria; Bacillati; Actinomycetota; Actinomycetes.
CAGGCGGUGCAUGGAUGUCUUCAGCUCGUGUCGUGAGAUGUUGGGUUAAGUCCCGCAACGAGCGCAACCCUUGUCCCAUGUUGCCAGCGGGUAAUGCCGGGGACUCNUGGGAUACUGCCGGGGUCAACUCGGAGGAAGGUGGGGACGACGUCAAGUCAUCAUGCCCCUUAUGCCCAGGGCUUCACACAUGCUACAAUGGCCAGUACAGACGGUUGCGAGACCAAGAGGUGGAGCGAAUCCCUUAAAACUGGUCUCACCUCNNAUUGUAGUCUGCAACUCGACUACCUGAACUACGAGUCGCUAGUAAUCCCAGAUCAGCAACGCUGCCUUGAAUACCUUCCCGGCCCUUGCACAC